Galleria mellonella (greater wax moth) is the source of this 437-nucleotide long non-coding RNA. RefSeq lists it as uncharacterized. The record is from RefSeq and is a predicted model, not a curated record. The transcript is spliced from 3 exons. NCBI's taxonomy places the organism in Eukaryota, Metazoa, Arthropoda, Insecta, Lepidoptera, Pyralidae.
AAAUUAUCUUUUUUAUUUUUAAAAUAAUGAUUUCUAUAAAAAAAAUACCUUAAUUUUAAAAUUAAGAUUAAUUUUUUUAACAAAAUCUUUUUAUUUUAGCCAAUUGUUUUACACAAUGUUAUAACAAUAAAAAUCAUGCAAAGAUAUAUUACUAUUACCACCAUUUAUAAAAAAAGAGAUUAUAGUUACCUAUAAAUCUAUUAGAUAAGUGGAUUAUUUAUUAUUUUCAGAUUCCUGUCAAAAAACUGAAACAUCAGUGAAUUUAUCAUCAGAUUCAACAAAUAAUGAGGAAAUGUCUGACUCAAGUAAUUACAAUUCGGGAACAGAUUCCAACUACACUCCGUCAGCACAUGACACUAGCUCUGAUGAAUCAUUCCUACAAGAGAACAUGAACUGUCCCGUCAUAUUAGAAAGAAACAUCCAAGAAUCAACAAAAG